This 1437-nucleotide ribosomal RNA is filed under the name Chryseobacterium daecheongense. Its description in RNAcentral is "bacterial SSU rRNA". It matches the Rfam family "Bacterial small subunit ribosomal RNA". The record is from RNAcentral. Lineage: Bacteria; Pseudomonadati; Bacteroidota; Flavobacteriia; Flavobacteriales; Weeksellaceae.
UGGGUUAGCUAGCGGGAGCUACACAUGCAAGCCGAGCGGUAUGAUUCUUUCGGGAAUCAGAGAGCGGCGUACGGGUGCGGAACACGUGUGCAACCUGCCUUUAUCUGGGGGAUAGCCUUUCGAAAGGAAGAUUAAUACCCCAUAAUAUAUUGAGUGGCAUCACUUAAUAUUGAAAACUCCGGUGGAUAGAGAUGGGCACGCGCAAGAUUAGAUAGUUGGUGGGGUAACGGCCUACCAAGUCGAUGAUCUUUAGGGGGCCUGAGAGGGUGAUCCCCCACACUGGUACUGAGACACGGACCAGACUCCUACGGGAGGCAGCAGUGAGGAAUAUUGGACAAUGGGUGCAAGCCUGAUCCAGCCAUCCCGCGUGAAGGACGACGGCCCUAUGGGUUGUAAACUUCUUUUGUACAGGGAUAAACCUAGAUACGUGUAUCUAGCUGAAGGUACUGUACGAAUUUGCACCGGCUAACUCCGUGCCAGCAGCCGCGGUAAUACGGAGGGUGCAAGCGUUAUCCGGAUUUAUUGGGUUUAAAGGGUCCGUAGGCGGAUCAGUAAGUCAGUGGUGAAAUCUCAUAGCUUAACUAUGAAACUGCCAUUGAUACUGCUGGUCUUGAGUAAGGUAGAAGUAGCUGGAAUAAGUAGUGUAGCGGUGAAAUGCAUAGAUAUUACUUAGAACACCAAUUGCGAAGGCAGGUUACUAUGUCUUAACUGACGCUGAUGGACGAAAGCGUGGGGAGCGAACAGGAUUAGAUACCCUGGUAGUCCACGCUGUAAACGAUGCUAACUCGUUUUUGGGUUUUCGGAUUCAGAGACUAAGCGAAAGUGAUAAGUUAGCCACCUGGGGGAGUACGAACGCAAGUUUGAAACUCAAAGGAAUUGACGGGGGCCCGCACAAGCGGUGGAUUAUGUGGUUUAAUUCGAUGAUACGCGAGGAACCUUACCAAGGCUUAAAUGGGAAUUGAUCGGUUUAGAAAUAGACCUUCCUUCGGGCAAUUUUCAAGGUGCUGCAUGGUUGUCGUCAGCUCGUGCCGUGAGGUGUUAGGUUAAGUCCUGCAACGAGCGCAACCCCUGUCACUAGUUGCCAUCAUUAAGUUGGGGACUCUAGUGAGACUGCCUACGCAAGUAGAGAGGAAGGUGGGGAUGACGUCAAAUCAUCACGGCCCUUACGCCUUGGGCCACACACGUAAUACAAUGGCCGGUACAGAGGGCAGCUACACAGCGAUGUGAUGCAAAUCUCGAAAGCCGGUCUCAGUUCGGAUUGGAGUCUGCAACUCGACUCUAUGAAGCUGGAAUCGCUAGUAAUCGCGCAUCAGCCAUGGCGCGGUGAAUACGUUCCCGGGCCUUGUACACACCGCCCGUCAAGCCAUGGAAGUCUGGGGUACCUGAAGUCGGUGACCGUAAAAGGAGCUGCCUAGGGUAAGACAGUAGUAAGAUCGA